Molecule: long non-coding RNA, 238 nt
Filed under: Elaeis guineensis (African oil palm)
Lineage: Eukaryota; Viridiplantae; Streptophyta; Magnoliopsida; Arecales; Arecaceae
Description: long non-coding RNA (EGUI_LNC004449)
Source: RNAcentral
GAGAUUUAGUCUUAAAAAAAGUAGAAGUGUCAAAGCCUUUGGAUCAAGAAAAACUAUCUCCGAACUGGAAAGAAUCUUAUAGAAUAUCCGAAACUCUUAGAUCGGGCACAUAUCGACUGAAAACUCUCGAAGAUUGGCGAUUCUCCGAACGUGAAAUACUGAUAAUUUAAAGAUGUAUUAUUAAUAAAGUUAUCGAUAUGUAUAUUAUUUGAAAUACAAUCAGAAUUUCAGAAUCACA